Molecule: long non-coding RNA, 205 nt
Filed under: Nicotiana benthamiana
Lineage: Eukaryota; Viridiplantae; Streptophyta; Magnoliopsida; Solanales; Solanaceae
Description: long non-coding RNA (NBEN_LNC020758)
Source: RNAcentral
AACAACAACAACAAUAACAAUUACCCAGUAUAGUCUCACAAAGUGGGGUCUGGGGAGGGUAAUAUGUAGACGAGCGUUACCCUACCUGAAAGGGCAGAGAAGCUGUUUCCAAUCGACCCUCGGCACGAGGGUCAGUGAAGGAAAGGAAAAACAAAAACAAAAAUAAAAGAGCAUUAGUAAGUUCAGCAGAAAUAGCGUAAAUAAU